GAUCAUGGCUCAGGAUAAACGCUGGCGGCGCACAUAAGACAUGCAAGUCGAACGGACUUAAUCGAAAUAUUUAUAUUUUGAAGCGGUUAGUGGCGGACUGGUGAGUAACGCGUAAGGAACCUGCCUAUUAGAGGGGAAUAACAGUGAGAAAUCAUUGCUAAUACCGCAUAUGCCAUAGAUAUCACAUGAUAACAGUUGGGAAAGGAGCAAUCCGCUAAGUAGAUGGCCUUGCG
Molecule: ribosomal RNA, 233 nt
Filed under: uncultured bacterium
Lineage: Bacteria
Description: partial 16S ribosomal RNA
Rfam family: Bacterial small subunit ribosomal RNA
Source: RNAcentral